This 102-nucleotide microRNA precursor is filed under the name Marmota monax (woodchuck). Lineage: Eukaryota; Metazoa; Chordata; Mammalia; Rodentia; Sciuridae. The record is from RNAcentral.
AGUGGGAUUGCUAGGUCAUAUGGUAAAACUACGAUUCGUUUCUAAAGAGACUACCAAAGGCCUUCCAAAGUGGCUGCACCAUUUUGCAUUCCAAACAGCCAU